GACCUCAGAUCAGGUAGNAUACCCGCUGAACUUAA
RNAcentral lists this ribosomal RNA (35 nucleotides) under Terfezia boudieri. RNAcentral's name for it is "partial 28S ribosomal RNA". The record is from RNAcentral. Lineage: Eukaryota; Fungi; Ascomycota; Pezizomycetes; Pezizales; Pezizaceae.